RNAcentral lists this long non-coding RNA (2127 nucleotides) under Portunus trituberculatus (swimming crab). RNAcentral's name for it is "uncharacterized LOC123509826". Lineage: Eukaryota; Metazoa; Arthropoda; Malacostraca; Decapoda; Portunidae. The record is from RNAcentral.
GGCGGAGAACCACAGUUUGGUGUGAGGAGUGGACGCCCGCCGCCGCCAGCAGGGUGGGCAGGUCAAAGGUAGACACACCCAAGGCAGCAAGGUGAUCACGAAGCACAACACGGUGGGAGUGGAAGCGGGGGCAGUGUAAGAGGAAGUGUUCGAUGGUUUCCUCGACCGUCCUGCACCAGGGGCAGUAGGGGUCCGGUGAUAGACCAAGGCGAUGCAGGUGUGCUGUGAGUCUUGUGUGGCCCAGACGGAGGCGGGUAAGUGCUACAUCUAGGAUGCGGGACUGUUUCCUGACCCAAGGCUGUGGAGAGGAGUCGCUACGGUAAAGGCCCAUAGAGGUGACUCGGAGUGCGUUGUUGAGUGAAGAGUCCCAGGAUGAGUGGCAGAGGUGAGAUAAGAGCCGUUUGGCAGAAUGAAGCUGGAGGGGUAGGGAGGUAAUGUUUACAUGGGUUAAGGCCAUCUUGGCAGCAGCAUCCACCACCUCAUUCCCCCGGAUGCUGCUGUGGGAAGGCACCCACUUGAAGGUGAUAUCCCACUCAGUGUUCAGGAGAUGGAGGAAGGUGUUCUGGAUGGAGUGGACGAGGGUUGUGGCGGAGGAUGGCUGCCGGGACAGGAGGAGAGAGAGAGAUGAGCGGGAGUUGGUGUAAAUUACCACGAUGGACUUCGGGUGAGAGGUGCGGAGGUAGAUGAGGGCCUGGAGAAGGGCAAAGAGCUCCGUGGUAAGGACAUCUGUGUACUCAGGAAGCCUCCAUGUCUUACAGAUAGCUGUAUUGGCGUCAUAUAUAGCUGCUGCCGAGGAGGGCAGGGAAGCAUCUCUGGAGCCAUCCGUGUAGAUCUUGAGGUGGUGGUUAUAAAUGGACCGGUCCAGCUGUUGGAAGUGGGCUGCUGCUAAUCCACUCACAGAUGGUUUGGGAGGAAGCCCAGGAACGUGGAGAGCAAAAUUAUGGUUGACGUCCAGCCAUGAAGGAAAAGGAGGUGCGGAGGUAACUGAUGUGAUUUACCCAGGAGAGGCGAGGGCCAUCUAGCCGCAGUCUGAGGAGGGUGUGUGAGGUUGAGUAUGGAACAGCCUCUCCACUUAAGUUGACGGGUCAGCGAGUGGGGUAGAAUCAUCAUCAGAAAAUGGGAUGUUCUGAGAUACGAACUUGCCCUCCAUGGAGCGGAAAAAGGACAUGGUACUCUUGGGAGAGGAGCGGAAGGAGAGAGUGGAGCAGUGCAGGUCCCAUGCAUUUCGCUUUGCCUUGAGGAUGGUCUUGGCACAGAUGGCGUCCAGGUGGCGGUAAGCACAGCCAGCCUGGAUAGUGGGGGUCCUACGCCACUGAUUCCAAGCCUGGCGACGGUCCUGUACUGCCUGCGCGCAGGCUGCAUCCCACCAGGGCUUCCCAGGGCAGUGUGGAUGACGACGGGUGAUGAGUGGGAAGGCAGCUGUGCCAGCCUCGGACAGCACCCCAGCAAUGGUUGUUGCGGCUUCAUCCAGGGGAAGAUGUUGGGUGUCCAGUGAGGAGGGAAGCAUAGCCACGUACUGGGGCCAGCCAGAAGAAUUGAGCCUCCAGCGAGGCAUGCAGCCAGGUUGGGACUGUGGGGAGACUUGUGGGAAGGAGGCGAGGAGAGGGAGGUGGUCGCUGCCCAUGUAAGGUCCAGUGCAGAAGGUGGAGUCCUUGAAGGUAGGGUCUCCAAGGAACAGGUCGAGCACCGAGGCGGCACUAGUAUGGGGAUGAAACCUGGUCGCUAGUCUGGGAGGGCUGAGGAGGGAGACAUGUUUCAGAUCUAACAAGGCUUGGAAGAGAGCAUUGCCAGAUGUGUUGUGGUGGUGAGGUGACAGGUCAGGCUCCCAACAUGUAUGAUGGGCGUUAAAGUCCCCCAUUAUAAGCACUGGAGGCUGCAGGGCGAAGUAGUGCAUAAACUCUCGGUGGCCAGCUGUACCCCCAGGAUUGUAGCAGGCUGCCACCGUGACCCAGCCACCACCAAGUCCAACCCUGGCCGCAACAACCUCCAGACGCCCAUCUUGAGACUGAGGGAUAGGGAGAGGCGAUGAGACGAGGGAGUCAUGGAUGGCGAGAAGGACACCUCCUCCACGUCCUUGACCACGAUCUUUGCGGAUGAUGUUGUAUCCCGGAAAGGAGAGAGAAAGAU